UUGCUAACUUUGAAAUCACCUUCUGCCACCGAACACAAGCUGGUUGCACCUGUCUGCAGGAAGUUUUGCUGACGCGGUGUCGACAUCGUCAUGGAGGUGGACGCUGGUUCCCCAGUCUGCGUGAUCUCAAGAGACGUGUUCGAAAAACACCGCCACAAGUGGCCAAGGACGGAGCGUUCAGGUCUGAAGUUAUUCAUGCUACCUGGGGAAGUUGCCUAUGGGAGGAAUCCGGAUGCAAGCUGUCGGCCGGAGAUCCCGUGUGGGCACGAAACUUUGGGGAAGGCGAGCGGUGUUACCGGGAAUCGUAGCUACAACGACUGGGGCCCGGAUGGUGUCGGUGGACACGCCGCUGGGAGAAAUAUGGUGUCACACGGACCAGAUCCGUUCAAGGGAGCUGCCAGCACACCAAGCACCAGAGACAACCCAAGAAACGGCACCCGCUGUUCGUAAAGAUGCGGCUGAGGGUCCAACACCUGAGCAGCCAGCCGCGGGUAUCACGCAACAUCAAGAGUGGUGCAGAUCUACCAGAGAAAGAAAACCAGUAGUGCGGUAUUCCCCCUACGGGAAGAAAUGCUGUAUCAUCGGAAGCUGUGCAUCGUCAAACGAUGACAUACUUUGUGAUCAUAGUCCAGUUUAGUUAUCAUCGUUAUCUCUUCCGUUCUGUUCCGCACCCGAAGUAUCGGGCUGUUUAUAUAAGCGCGUGGCAGAUAAUAAAUGCUGUUCACAGCCUACCAUGUCUUGGCUGUCGAACGUCGUAAAAUGUGUAAUAUUCUGCUCGCCUGUUGAUAGAGUUUAUAUACAAUAUUGCGUUAAUCUAUUUACAUAGCGGCAGCAAAGGUUUGUCAGAGCAUUUGGUAUUUUGUAUUGGUACCGCAGACAUGGUGUAUUGUCUAAGCAAGGUGGAAUAAA
Molecule: unclassified non-coding RNA, 909 nt
Filed under: Ixodes scapularis (black-legged tick)
Lineage: Eukaryota; Metazoa; Arthropoda; Arachnida; Ixodida; Ixodidae
Description: uncharacterized LOC120838847, transcript variant X1
Source: RNAcentral